This is a long non-coding RNA of Pezoporus flaviventris, 3962 nucleotides long. RefSeq lists it as uncharacterized. NCBI's taxonomy places the organism in Eukaryota, Metazoa, Chordata, Aves, Psittaciformes, Psittacidae. The transcript has 4 exons. The record is from RefSeq and is a predicted model, not a curated record.
AGGGAAGGGUGCUUCAAAGCUGAGGUGUAGCUGUGCAGGGAUAAAGUAUGCUUUACUUGUCAUGUAUCAUAGGUGAAACCUCAUUCUUGUGAAUUAAAAGUACACUGGCUGAGCAGCUGUCAUUGGAUUUUAGAAACCUCAUCUGAAGGGCAUUAAUUUACUACAAGGCUUCCUAGUUACAUGGUCAGUAAUACAAAGAAGAAUGUAAGCCGGGAAGUCUGUGAUAAGAACAAUAAAAACAGCAUUUGCUCCAAGGAGCAAAACUGAAGCAGACUUCACAAACUACAGGAAGAGAAGGAAAGAAGGUAAUGUGUGUAUUCAGUUGGACACAGGGAUUUUCCCUAAAACAAUAAUUAAGACAACAAGUAACUAUGUAUGGAGAUAACUAAAGCGUAAUAGAAAACCUGAAGAAAGAAAUGGAAACGUGAUUUAAUAAGGCUCAGCAAGCAGUGCAUCUGGGGAUGAUACUGCAAGACAGAUGGUAUCCUGAACAGAUCUGUGCUCUGAAAACUCAGAUGACCCCAUUUCUUUAGAUUACCAUGCAAGGAGAUGACCCUGAAAAAGUGAGAAAGUACAGGGCUGGAAUGCUAGCUGAGUGAGCCCCAGGGACAGAAGACAGUUUGAUCCUAGCUGUCUGUUAUUUGAACACAGAUCUAAAAGAAGAUAAGGACAAAGAUCCGCUUUUCACUGCCCAACAUAUUAUAGAUGUCUUUGCAAAACAAAUGCAAAGCUUAUUGAAAGCAGUAGCAAUUACAUGUAGUUGGAUUUUACUCACUGUUAUUUUAGGAUUGAGCAACCAUGCUGAGAAAUGAAAACAAAAGUUACGUCAGAAGAAAUGACACAUAAGGCUUUAUGUUUACUUACUUAUUUUUAUAUGUAUAAAAUAUAAAAAUAACAUGUAUGUUUAUAUGGUUGGUUGUAUAGGAAAUGUGAGGUUUACAGACCAUUUGUCACUGCUGCAGCCACUGGAAUGGGCCAGCAAAUUUGUGGCCCUGUGUCUCCUUACAGCUGCUUUUUAUAUUUGGAGUAUAAACAUUGUUGGCUUCUGAAGGAUUUAUCAGUUUAGAGGACAGCUGUGGAGUGUUUAGGAGAGGACCUAAGGACAACAUAGCUUCAAAAUAAGUAUGUGUUUGGCCACUCCAUCUUCUGACACGUUAGAUACUUCUACAGAGAAAAGACUUCCAAGAAAGUAGACACCCUUCCAGGGAUCUCCUGCAAGUACUUCCUCACUCAACACCACAGGCUUUGAAGGCUUCUUUCUGUGAAUUUUUCUUGUCUAACAGAAAAAAGAAGAUAUGUGAAUGGAUGAAUGGAUGGAAUAUGUACGAUUAAAAAAAACAUUCAAAACAUUACAGGAGACACACUUUUUCCAUAAGGAAAAAAAGCCACAUGGAAAUUCCAUGAAAAGUCACAUCACUUAACAAGCUCCUGGAAGGCUCUCAGAUGUUAGAGUUGCUACAGCUAAUACCACACAGAACAGCAUAGCUGCAGCUUGCAAAUAGACAAAAACCUGAUCGUUUUGUUGACAACUUAUUUUGUUCACACAUGCAGUUAAAAUUAAAUGUAAGCACUGUCUGGUAGUUUUUGGAAGACAGAAGAAUAACAUCUAAGCGAUAGAAAACCUCUGUAGCAAGCAAGACCAGUUCUGAAUGUAAAUUUAUUUUCCAUUUGUGUAUUUUUUUUUUUACACAACAUAAAUACGUACAAAACAGUACAUAAGGAAAACCUAGGAAAUCAUGCUUAAUAUGACCUUUUCCCCCUUUGUCCUUACAGAGGAAGGCUGUCAAAUGCUCAUGAGCUUCCCAUCCAUCAUGUUUCAUAGGAGAACAGGAGACAGUAGGCAUCUUAAGCUGGUCUGUAUGGAUUCACACAGAGGGAUCUUCCUCCAACACUGUUGUGCUUAACAGCGAAGAAAAUUCCAGCUGCCCUUUUAAGAUAUCUGAGUUUUAUCUGAGGGCACACUGGUCAUAUCUGAAAGUUUUAAAAUAAACGUCAAAGUCUGUUGUAUAGUCCAGGAUCAAUUACGAAGUAUUUAUUACUUGGAAAGAUGUCUGACUUUUGCCCUUUCAUUCUGUAACAGUCACAAUCAUUUCAGCAUUCCGUUUUACAAUUUUCUUAUUUACAGCACAUUCACAAAUUCACUCUUGCAGCUGUUCCUCAUGUGAUUAUUUCUAGUAGUUGCAUUGUGGUUACCCAUACGAAUAAGGCUUAUUGUUGUGGUAUACCAUCAGAGGCUACAAAUAUGCAAAAAUUAUAAAGGGACAGGAAACUUUCAAACCCUUUAAAUAAUUUCUUCUGGGUUUGGCCAAGCAUUCUUUUGGGGUUUGCCUGGACUUUUGUUUCAUUUUGUUUAAAGAUUGCCCUGCAGCUAUUUCAAAAAGCUUAAAAACUGCUACCACCAAUUUACUUUAAAUCAGUUAAUCACAGGAGAGAAGGCAGUUUCAAAAUCUGCCAAACCCUCAGUCAAUAGAAAUUAGCAAUUAUGCAGUUAUUUUUAUUAGCUGCAUAUUGCAUAAAGAUGUGAGCAUCUGUACUUAUUAUAUUAUACAGAUUAUUUCAUGACAGUAUAUGACAUUUAUUUGUAGUAGUAUAACUGCUAUGAUUAUUUUGAGUGACAGAUGAACUGGUAAGGAAGAAAGCAUAGUAACCAAAGUUGAGUAUUUUUGAAUAUAUAUUUAUUCUGGAGAAACAAGCUCCUAAAUACGUGACUGCAAUGGAUACCGGACAAGCAUGCACUAUAAAAAAAACCCCUAUUCUGUUUUCCUUUUCUUGUCAACAGCACAUAGCAACAACUGUUUCCUAGUACCAGCAAAGAUCUCUGCUGCAUCAGUUACUCUGCCAUGGAGGUUAGAACUAUGAGCUUUUGAACUCACAUACAGUGUAAACAAUCACCACUUGAUUGCUUUGCUGAAUACAGCUUGUAUCCUAUUACUUAUUUCCCAGCUCAUGUCUUGGAACUGAUUCUAAAUCUAAAACAAGGAACACUUAUCCAAAUUCUUUGUGUAUGAAGAAGUUACCUACUCAGAUGAAAAAUGUGAGCUAUGCCAAGUUAAGGGAAUGAGCAGGCAAGUCAAUAAUGAGGGAUUUGUAGUCAUAAAGACUACUUUGCAUUACAGUGUCUGCAGGAGACCUUGUCAGUACUUUUCAUGUGCUAGGUUAUGAGCCAUUCUCUCCUUGCUGCUCUUAGUUUCAAGUGGCUGGAGAGUCACAAAUACAACCACUGCAAGAAAUGUAUUACUGGCUUGUGUAGUAAGGGAUAAUAAUAAAUGUUGUACCUGAACACUGAAGAAUUGAGGUACCAGAAUAAUUCUGUGUUUUUAAUGGGAACAUCUUUGACAACAUCAAGAAAGACUGAUUACAGAUAAGAAAUCCAGGAAUCAGCAUAUGGUCUGGCUUAGCUGGAAAUCUCUAUCACUACUGAGCAGAAAAAUCCUCUUCUAAAGGCUACAACAACCCUUAAUGCUGAUAAUAAAAGAAAGAUGUGUCCCAUGGUGUGCACUUAAGCAGCUGCUGGUGGUCAUGACAUGGGGCAUCUCUUAAGAAUCAAUAUUAUACAUUUACCUUUGCCAGGUGAAAUGCUAAUCCAAUUAAACAACAUCAAAUUCCAACAAUUCCAGGAAAACCUGCUGAUACUAGAAACUCAGUAAAUAUUGAAUUCCUAUAUGUGAUUUUCAUUUACUUUCAUGAUUUUUCCAAAGGUUCUUGUCAUGUUAUUUUAGCUCAAAUAACCUUUUGGUUUUCAUUUCUCAUGGCACCAAAUCAGUUUCUUGCUUUCAUUUCUGGAACAAACAUACACAGGUUGAUUAUUACCAUGCAUGACUCAGAAUUGCGUAAAAUUCCAGGACAUUACUUAGUUGGUCCUGAAAGUUUAAAUGUCUUUUACCUUUACCUGUUGGUAUUUAGCACCCUUACUAAGUAAUGAUUGAAUAAAACAUUUGCAAUUAUACCCAUGCAGCAUUACU